Molecule: non-coding RNA, 45 nt
Organism: Schistosoma margrebowiei
Lineage: Eukaryota; Metazoa; Platyhelminthes; Trematoda; Strigeidida; Schistosomatidae
Source: Rfam
AUCCAGCUGACGAGUCCCAAAUUGGACGAAAAGCGCGUCCUGGAU